UCCCUGGUGGCUCAAAUGGUAAAGCAUCUGCCUGCAAUGCAGGAAAUCCAGUUUCGAUCUCUGGGGCGGGAA
Molecule: transfer RNA, 72 nt
Filed under: Ovis aries (sheep)
Lineage: Eukaryota; Metazoa; Chordata; Mammalia; Artiodactyla; Bovidae
Rfam family: tRNA
About the family: Transfer RNA (tRNA) molecules are approximately 80 nucleotides in length.
Source: Rfam by way of RNAcentral